ACACUUUGAGGCCCAACCCAUCUAAGAAAAACCUAACCUAGCACUGUCUCUCCCAGCUAUAACGCAACGCCGCCGCCCGUCCCUAGCCCAAGCUCCCAGCCGUAACGCCACCGCUCGUCCCUAGGCCCUGGCUAGCGGCUAGCUCGCGCGUCCUGCUCUGUGCUCUCUCGGUCUCUCCCAGCCCCAAGCUCCCAGCGCCAGCCGCCUGCUCGCCAGAAGCCACGGCUCCACCGCAGAUUGGCCUCACCGCGGCACGCCGGCACCGGUGACACGCCGUGACGCCGUGCCAGCCGCCCAGCCUCAACAGCUCCUCCACCACACGCCGUCGUGACGUGCCGUCCCUCCACUGCUGACUGCUCCACAGGCCACGGCUCCCUCUGUCCCUCGCAGUCGCAGCACCAGCACGACACGGCAGCCGACAGGAACUCUCUUCAGCGGCUACGGCUCCAUUCCUGAGAUGACGCCUCCGGUUGGAAAUAAUACUCCCUCAAGCUCAACCAUAAAAUUAGCCAAGUUGAUGUCUACCACAAGAGCGCCUUCUACACACAAAACAAAUUCGGUAUUCAUAUACAUGCUAAGUGAUCCAGAUGUAAGCAAGUGAUUAUGAAUAUAUGUUUUAAACUUUAUAUUGUGUCAUGUGUGCUAGUAGACUUAUAUGGCUUCUUAUGUUAGCCAAGAGUCCAAGACUUAUCACUCAUGUGCUACAUUAAACUAUGUGUGCUUCACAUUUAUAUGGCUUUUAUCUAUGUUUAAUUAAGACUUGUGUUUAUAUUUUUUAUAUUUGUUGUUAAGUUUUGAAUAUAUGGUUUCAUGGUGUGAUUUUACCGAAC
Molecule: long non-coding RNA, 830 nt
Organism: Zea mays
Lineage: Eukaryota; Viridiplantae; Streptophyta; Magnoliopsida; Poales; Poaceae
Exons: 1
Source: RefSeq, marked validated